This 914-nucleotide ribosomal RNA is filed under the name uncultured bacterium. RNAcentral's name for it is "bacterial SSU rRNA". It matches the Rfam family "Bacterial small subunit ribosomal RNA", at positions 75 to 988 of the family's 1533-position model. The record is from RNAcentral.
GGGGGCAACCCCUUGAGAGUGGCGAACGGGUGAGUAAUGUAUCGGAACGUGCCCCGUCGUGGGGGAUAACGUACUGAAAAUUACGCUAAUACCGCCUACUAUCUAUGGAUGAAAGCGGGGGAUCGCAAGACCUCGCGCGAUUGGAGCGGCCGAUAUCAGAUUAAGUAGUUGGUGGGGUAAAGGCUCACCCAGCCAACCAUCUGUAGCUGGUCUGAGAGGACGACCAGCCACACUGGAACUGAGACACGGUCCAGACUCCUACCGGAGGCAGCAAUGGGGAAUUUUGGACGAUGGACGCAAGUCUGAUCCACCCAUUCCGCGUGCAGGACGAAGGCCUUCCGGUUGGAAACUGCUUUUGUACGGAACGAAAAAGCUCUUAUUAAUACUAGGAGUCCAUGACGGUACCGAAAGAAUAAGCACCGGCUAACUACGUGCCAGCAGCCGCGGUAAUACGUAGGGUGCAAGCGUUAAUCGAAAUUACUGGGCGUAAAGCGUGCGCAGGCGGUUAUAUAAGACAGAUGUGAAAUCCCCGAGCUUAACUUGGGAACUGCAUUUGUGACUGUAUACCUAGAGCACGGCAGAGGGGGAUGGAAUUCCGCGUGUACCAGUGAAAUGCGUAAAUAUGCGGAGGAACACCGAUGGCGAAGGCAAUCCCCUGGGCCUGUACUGACGCUCAUGCACGAAAGCGUGGGGAGCAAACAGGAUUAGAUACCCUGGUAGUCCACGCCCUAAACGAUGUCAACUGGUUGUUGGGUCUUCACUGACUCAGUAACGAAGCUAACGCGUGAAGUUCACCGCCUGAGGAGUACCGCCGCAAUGUUGAUACUCAGAGGAAUUGACGGGCACCCCCCACAGCGGAGGAUGAUGUGGUUUACUUCGAUGCCACGCGAAAAAUCUUACCCACCUUUGACAUG